Molecule: unclassified non-coding RNA, 1349 nt
Filed under: uncultured Neocallimastigales
Lineage: Eukaryota; Fungi; Neocallimastigomycota; Neocallimastigomycetes; Neocallimastigales
Description: partial contains internal transcribed spacer 1, 5.8S ribosomal RNA, internal transcribed spacer 2, and large subunit ribosomal RNA
Rfam family: Eukaryotic large subunit ribosomal RNA (bases 593-1349)
Source: RNAcentral
AAAAUAAUCCUACCUUUGUGAAUUUUGUUUGUUUGAAUAAUUUUUUUUUUAAAAAAUUAUUGGAGUCUUUCCCUUUAGAGUUUGCUUUUGAGUUUGUAAAAGAAUUCGAAAACAUCUAAAGGGGAUGGUCAAUAAUUUUUUUUGAAAAAAGACAUUUUUUAAAAUUAAACUUUUUGUAUUCAUUUGUCUAAAAAUUAUUUUUAUAAUAUAAAAACAACUUUUGACAAUGGAUCUCUUGGUUCUCGCAACGAUGAAGAACGCAGCAAAAUGCGAUAAGUAGUGUGAAUUGCAGAAUACGUGAAUCAUCGAAUCUUUGAACGCAUAUUGCACUUUUUUAGUUUACUAAAAAAGUAUGUCUGUUUGAGUAUCAGUAAAAUAUUCUCAUAAAAAUCAUGUGUAUUUUUAUGGUUAUGAGUGUUUUACAGCGAUACAAGUUGUUUCACUUUAAAUUUUUUUUUAAUAUUGAAAUUUUUCUAAUUUUAAUAAUUAAAAUUGGAUAAAUUUUCCCGUCAAAAGGAAUAACCUAAACAAUUUUAAACGAUUAAUUUUAGCAAAAUUUUCGUAAAAAAGGAAAAUUUUUAUUAAAAUAACUUGAUCUCAAAUCAGAUAAGAGUACCCGCUGAACUUAAGCAUAUCAAUAAGCGGAGGAAAGAAACUAACAAGGAUUCCCUUAGUAACGGCGAGUGAAGCGGGAAGAGCUCAAAUUUGAAAUCUUCAAGGUCUUACCUUGGCGAAUUGUAGUUUAAAGAAGUGUUUUCUGCUGAAGUUUUGGUAAAAGUUCUUUGGAAUAGGACAUCAUAGAGGGUGAGAAUCCCGUAUUUGACCAUUAUUUUCAGCUUUGUGAUACACUUUCAAAGAGUCGGAUUGUUUGGGAAUGCAGUCCAAAAUGGGUGGUAAAUUUCAUCUAAAGCUAAAUAUUGGCGAGAGACCGAUAGCGAACAGUACCGUGAGGGAAAGAUGAAAAGAACUUUGAAAAGAGAGUUAAACAGUACGUGAAAUUGUCAAAAGGGAAGCGUUUGACACCAGUGUUGUUUUCUCGAAGAAUCAAUUAAAAAUGGCUCGAUUUUGUAUUGCUGAGACCUUAAAAGCUCACUGUACAUUUUUCGUGUCUUUUUAAUGCACUUUUCGUUUAACAAGUCAACAUCAGUUUCUUUUGUUGUAAAAGGGUCAUUGGAAGGUGGCUUUCUUUUCGGAGAAAGUGUUUAUAGCCUUUGGCCUCUGCAAUCGGAGAGACUGAGGUCUGCAGCGUAGACUCUUCGGGGUUAGAUACAUUUGUGCUAAGUUAUAGCUUUUAUAGACAACUUGUUGACUAUAAUUAGUCUUGUAGCUUACUCGCUUAUGCUAUUUUA